Long non-coding RNA from Equus asinus (donkey), 9007 nucleotides. The record is from Ensembl. Lineage: Eukaryota; Metazoa; Chordata; Mammalia; Perissodactyla; Equidae.
GGAUUGGAAUUCUAUGAGCUAUGGGAAUGAGGUGAUGCAUGGGAAAGGCUGAGAAAUUGAGGAAUUCUAAUGCAAACUUGCCUAAGGUCAUAUAAGGUGAGUCAUAGUUGGGAGUUAAUGUUUCCUUUAAUCACUAGGCCAACGUACAAGUUUUCUUUCACAUAUCCCCCAAGAAGCAAAGAAUAUGAGAGGUGUUUAGCUCUUAAAUGAUCCUCCAUAUUUUAUUGACUUGCUAGAAUUUUGUAUUGCUAUUCUUUUGUCUAUAUCUAUACCUAUAGUGUUAAGGAUAUUAAAAGAAUCAAAAAUGGAGAAGGAAAAAAACACAUGUAUUACCCCAAAUAUACAAAGAGAUGCUUAACCUAAAUUUAGUUAGGGAAAGAAGAUCACACUGAGACACCGUUUUAUACACAAGAGACCGUAAAAAAUUAAGCAGUCUAAUAAUAUCAAAUGCUGGUGAAGAUGUGGAGCAAGUGGAUUUCUUAUUCAUUGUUGGUAGGAAUAUAAAUGGAUUCAACUACUUUAGAAAAGAAUUUGGCAGUAUCUUAUAUAUAAAUUAGAGCAUUUGUACGUCACUUGACUCAGUAGUUCCACUCCCUUGUGGAUAUACAAUCAUGUGUACCAGGAAACACAAACAUGUGUUUAUAAUGGCUACAUACUAGAAACAACCCAAUUGUGGCCCCUGAAUGAAUCAAUGAUAGUGUUGUGAACCAAAGAUUAUGAUUCUGCACAACUGAUUGCAUCCAAAAUAAAGGACCAAGUCAAACAAGAAGGACCAAGAUCAUCUAACACACCACCUAACACAUGCAACAUAUGUAAUCGUUGGUUGAAUUGAUGAAUGAUAAAAACGAGGCAUUUUGGGGUAUCACAUGACUCUUUAGGUACUGAUGAAUGUUUAAGCAGCUUUUCCUUAUUUGAGACAACCAAUAUUCACUGAGCCCCUUUACCAAAUAUUUUCUCAUCGCUUAAUGAUUUUGUAUUAUAUUCAUUUGUACUAAAAAAAUGUUCAUUCUUCCAUUUUGUAACUGAAACCAGCUUUUAAACUUCUGGAGGGCAAGGACCGUAUUUUCGGUUUCCUUUUUCUCUUAUUACAGAACUACAUGGAGUGGAUAAUCAGUAACUGCUAACGACUUAAUGGUGAAACAAAAAUCCACUUAAAUUUUCCCUUUUGAAAAACAAUCUAUUUUGAAAGUAACGAAUUAUAGUCAAAAGCAGACUUUUUCAACCAAGCUAAGUGCUCUGCAACUUCAAGUGGAUACUUUUCAGGAAAAGUUUACUGUAUAUAUAGCAAAGUUGUGACAAGUAUCUUUGUGUGUAGGAAUAUGUUUGGGACAAAUACAAGGAAGUUUUUAUGUAGUAAUUCUAAGAUUUAGUGAAAUUCUUAGCACAAGGAAUCAAUGAUAAGAAAACAUUGUAUAUCUUAUAAUCAUCCAAUUAAAAACAUGCUAAACAACGUGCUAUGCUCAUUAUUUUGCUAAGAAAAUUGGAAUCCAGAAAGCCAUUGAUAUUUCAGGUCUAAGGGGUUAUUUUUGUUGUUGUUUAAUCAAGUACUAAUCAGGAGAGAUAUACUUUAUAGGAGGAGAGCCAAUUUAUCUGACAUCAAGACUGUUAAGGCGGUUACCCUUAGACGAUGAUUAUUAGUACUAUGUUAGCCUAUUUCCAAUUAAACUGAACUCUCUGUUGUAAUAGUGGUUGCAAGAGGCACAAAUUUAAAGAGAAAAAGAAGAUGUGCUUCCUUACCCUUUUCCUUUCACCCAGCGCAUCACCAAUUUAAAACUUCUGAUAUGCUAAUUGGUUCAUAUGAGUCAGGUGAGAAUCUUUUGAUAGAAAGCAACAGAAAUCCCAAACCAAAAUAACUCAACCAAAAAGGAAGAUUCUUGUUUCAUUGGUUGAGCACUCUACAUCUGAUCUGACCAGGAUUUAUUGCUAGUUCUGCUUCCUCUGGGUUGGCUCCAUUUUAAGGCAGGCUUUUUAGCAGUGCUCACACAUCUCAUCUAACGGGAGGGAGAGUUUCCUCCAAGAGUAGAGCAAAACUUGGUUCUCAUAGGCUAAUAUUGAGCCAUGUACCCAUGCCUGAAUCAAUCACUGUGUCCAGGGAAAGGAAUUAGUUUAGGUGUGAGAAACACACCUACACCUGCAGACAUGGGAGUGAGGAGUCAGUCGCCUCCAAACACAUAGGCUGCCUCUAGGAAGGGCUGAUACUUGGGCAAAGUUUAGAGUACUGUUACUGAGGGUAAUUAUGCUAAAUGGUCCAAAUAUCUACUAUAUUGUACCUUUCAAGUCAGUUCCACAUUUUCUUAUAAUAUCUUCAAUAAUUAUGAGCUAUGUGUUUUCUUUGUAUAGAGGUAUGAGGGAUGCCUGACAAGAUAGAACAAUUUUUUGUUUCUUGGUUGGUGAAAGAAGCUGCAAGCCACUUUUCUGCUGGGUGACUGUAAGGGAUCAGUUUGGAGCAGGUUUUCUUAAUUCUGAGAGGAGGUUUUGGAAGGUCUCUUCUUCUUAUGUAAAUGGAAGGAAUAGGAACCCAUUGACUUAGGAAAAGUAAGUAUCAGGCUAUUUUGUGGCUUGAUAAAGUUUUCUCCAUGUAUCUUUUGCUAUGCAAACUUGGAGAAAAGUAGAGUAAAUUUGUAUUGUCAAAGACUUCUAGAAGGAACUAAAAUCUCCCCAUUCCAUUUGAGACCACUGUAUCAGAACAUCAGAUAGAUUGAGAUGAUUUCAAAUAAGUUCACCUGUGUUCCCAAGGAAGCAUUCACACUGAGGGGAAGGCAGAUAAUGGACUAGUGAAUUACGGGAAAUCACACAGGAAGAUCCAUUCUAUAAUAGUCUGUGGCUAGAAGACCUCACUCUUACAAAAGGCAUAUUGUAGGAACAGUGGCCUAGACUGAAAGGAUAGAAGGAAAUCAGUAACUUUGGAAGCCUAUGUGUGGUACACCUCUGUAGCUUGCACUGCAUCACUGGGAAGGGUGAAAAGGCUCAAAUGAACGCACUGAACUGGAUCAGUUAAGUGCAGUGAAUUUGUAUGGUGGUACAGCAGACAUGGCGGGUGAAGGUUGGGGAUAGUAUGAAACUAGUCAGUCAGCCUGAGGGCCUUCUUUCUCCUCCUCCUUCUCUAGUCUUUCUCUUUCCCUCCCUCACUCUCUCUCUCCCUGCUUUCUUCCCUUACUGUGUUAAUUCUCCUGCUAAAGGUGAGUAACUGAGAACAGAGAUACCCCUUUGGACUGCAUAAGCGUCCCUGGUUCUUGACCACCCAAUUACGGGAAGAGCUUUAAAGAAGUAGCCAUUGGAUGUCCUUUUAAACUGGUCCUGUGGGGGAUUGAAUGAUUAAUUUGAAUAUUAAAAAGAUUUAUGAUCUUAAUUGUACCUCAAGCUGGUGAUACAGGCCACACUGAUUUUAUCAGAUUAAUUUUAAAAAACAACCUAAAACUUAACGAGUCAUUCCUAAGAAUUCUGCUUCUCCUUCUGCUUUCUAGCCUCCAAAGCUGAUCAGGCAUAAAAUUAUCUUUAAAAUAAAUUAUUCCCACACCAUCAAAUGUGGGCUUGGAUGGUAAUAAUAUAUGUAAAGAAAGAAUGAAACAAUUGGGAGAGGGAAGGGGUCGUUGGUCAGGAGAGAAAAAUGAGGGCAGGAGAGUCAAGCAUUGGCUCUUCCCCUCUUUGUAGAGGGAAUCCUGGCUCAUAGACCUGUCAGACAUCUCGGCAGGAAUAUCUCAGUUCUCAGUCAAGCUUCCUUAGCCAGAUGCCAUUGAAAAAUCAAAUCAAAUAAUUAACUCCCUUCAUUUUCAAAUUCCAUGUUCAUGAAAAAAACUUCUAAUUACAUUUUGGCCUACCCAUAAGGAAAGAGUUCACUGAAUAAGGUAUAUAUUUAACACGAAUCCUUGGUUACAGAGGAUGGCAAAAUCAGACUGAGCUUUGAAAACAUCAAUUUCAAAAUUAAUAGAAAAAAAUACAUUGGAAAAUGUAAAAAUAAAUGAAGACAAUAUCAAUCUCGACUCACACUAAAACAGGUGAUGGAAGGAUGUUACCUCUCUCCUAAAGAGAGCAAAAAGUUUGUGUUCGACUUUUAUUCUUCAUUUUUUGAGAGACCUACUAUGUGAGAUGCUAGGGAUACAGCAGCGAACAAGAUAGUCAUGUUUUCUGCCCCCGAGGAGCAAAAUUCUACUGGAGGGAAAUUGAUUAUAUAAUGGUAGUUAAAUAAUUAAUUAUAAUUUUUAGUAACAGAGGUGAAAAUGAGAAAUAAAAAGUGCUAUUAAACAUGGAGUGAGGUGCCUGUCUCAGUCCAAGGCGUCCUUCCUUAGGGAAACAACCCCGUGACCUGGGAUAUGAAGUCUGAGGGACGAAGGGUAUUCAUAGUGGCAGAGGACAGAGGAGAAGAUUUCUAGAUUGUAUCAGUCAAGGUUCUUGGUUACAGACAAUAGAAGCCAACUAACUAGCCAGCAGAUUAAGAAACAAAUUAUUGAAAAAAUCCUGGGCAUAUCACAGAAUCAACUGGGAGACUGGAAAAUAGGAUUAGAGAAUGAGAAAAAACCAAAAAAAAAAAAAAUCCCCUAAGAAAAUGGGAAAUAUAGUCCAGAACACACCAGAGUAACUGCUUGGGAUGCUGUAACUGGUGCUGUCCUCACUUGACAUUUGUGCUGAACUGUAAGUAAUGUUUUACUGUCACUGUGUCCUUGUUUCCCUUCCACAUGUUUCAAAGACUUAGCAGGAGCAUCUGAUUGGCCAAAUGUAUGACUUUUAUUGAUAAUUGCCACUUGGUAUUCGUGCCCUUAUGUGGUCUCCUCCCAUAUAGUAAUAGGGUUGAUCUGUGUGACCAAUAGAAUGUAGGAGAAGUGAUUUAUGUAACUUCUGAGGCCAGAUCAUAAAAGACAUUGUCAUUUCUGCCUUGCUCUCUCUUGGAUCACUUGGGUCUCUCAUGGAUUUGGAGGAAGCCAGCUGCCAUGUUGUGAGGACACUUAAGUAGCCUCUUGGAGAAGUGUACGUGGGAAGGAACUGAGGCCUCCUGCCAACAGCCAGCACCAACUUGUCAGCCAUAUGAUGUCUUAAUUACAACAUGAGAGACUCAACCAGAAUGGCUCAGCUAAGCUGCUCCUGAAUUCCUGUCCCACAGAAACUGUGUGAGAGAAUACAUGUUUAUUUUUAGUUUAAGUUGCAGAGUAAUUUGUUAUGCAGAACAGAUAACUAAUACACAUGUCUAAUUUCUAUCUACCAGGAAGAGGGAGAGGUCCCUUCAUUUUACAGAUGAGGAAAUGAACUCAGAUUUAAAAAGUCUUUAAAUAUUUUUCAGAAUUUCUUAGGAAACAUUUGCAUGGCUAUACGAUCUACCAGUGACUGUUCUAAAAACUUUAUAAAUAUUAACUCAGUCCUCCUGGCAGCCCCCUCUGAGUGCCUACUAUGGGCUGAAUUAUAUCCCCCCCAAAUCAAUAUGUUGAAGCUCUAACCCCCAAUGUGACUGUAUUCGGAAAUGGAGCAUUUAAACGGGUAAUUAAGGUUAAAUGAGGUCAUAAGCGUGGAGGAAUCCAAUGUGAUUGAUACUCUUAUAAGAAGAGGAAGAGACACCAAGGACGUACAUGCACAGAGAAAAAGCCAUCUGCAAGCCAAGGAGAGAGUCCUCAGGAGAAACUAAACCUGUUGACAUCUUCUCCAACCUACAGAAUGGGAGAAAAUAGCUUUCCGUUGUGUAAGCUGCCCAGUGUUUUGUUAUGGCAGUCCUGGCUGACUAAUGCUAGCCAAUACCACAGGUCUACGUGAGUCAGAUUAUUCUUAUUGCUGCUUUGGCUCUCCUGUCCAUUACGGUAAUCACCCCCACCUUGCCUUUGAUGCUUGCGGUUGUAGAUAAAGAAACUGAAGCACAGGGAAGUUAAGUAACUUGUCCAAGGUCACAUAGCUGGUAAGUGGUAAAUUGGGAUUUGAACUCUCAAAAAGAAUCCACUAUCCUGUAUCUAAACAAAUCCAGACAAGAAGACUUUAACAGUUAAUACUUUCCUCAAGAACUUUGUAUCCUAUACAUACUUUUUAUUUUUUUAACUUUUUUUUUGGUGAGGAAGAUUAGCCCUGAGUUAACAUCUGUUGCCAAUUCUCCUCUUUUUGCUUUAGGAAGAUUGUCUCUGAGCUAACAUUCAUGCCAAUCUUCCUCUACUUUAUAUGAGCAGUGUGUCAGUCCACACCUGGGAUCUGAGUACACGAACUCCGGGUUGCCAAAGCACAUUGUAUGAACUUAACUACAACGCCACCAGACCAGCCCCUGCACAUAUUUUUUAAUUGAAGUUAUUGACAUAGCUUCUAAAUGGGCUUAAUAGGGGUUUUCAAAAAUUAUUUUGGUCUCCAUUGGAACAGUGUAACUGAAGGAUCCAUUCUGAGUUCUGAACUACUUGAAAAAUUUCACUCUAGACUAAAUGUUCGCUGGGAUGCACUGAAUUGUAAGUAAUCUCUGUCACAGUAUCCUUCUCUUUCACCCUCUCACUGGCUUCCAAAUGCCAGCAGGAACGUCUGAUUGGCUGAGCCUCAGGCACAGACCCAACUCCUAUCUGCCAGCUAAAUGCAGUUAACUUCCUUAGCUGUAUGGCGGGAAACUCCCACAUAAUAACUUGGAUGGAGAGAGAAUCCCCAGUGCAAGAAUAUACCCUUUUGUGUUAAUGUAACCCUAGUGUGGCUCAAGAUAUCCUCAGCCCUUGUCUUGUACUGAGACCCUCAGCAGUCAGCUGGUUCCUCAAAACACAUCCAAUUUUAUAAUACAUUCAUGAGAAAUUAACAUUUUACUAAAACUCUUCUGCACAGAGAGUAGGAUUCCCAUUGCACACAGCCCAACAGAACCUUAAUAUGAUUCUCCAUUAGAUAGUCUGUUUUUUGGUUUUUUAAAAAGGUUUUAUUUUUCCCUCUUCUCCCCAAAGCCCCCCAGUAUAUAGUUGUAUAUUUUAGUUUUGGGUCCUUCUAGUUGUGGCGUGUGGGACGCUGCCUCAGCAUGGCUGGAUGAGCCGUGCUAGGUCUGCGCCCAGGAUCCAAACCGGUGAAAUCCUGGGCCGUGGAAGCGGAGCACGCAAACUUAACCACUCGGCCGCAGGGCCAGCCCCAGAUAAUUUGGUUUUCAUCCUCAAAAUUCCUCUCCCUGCCAUUAGACUCAACUGUGAUUUUUUCCCCUUCCUUUACAUAGAUCCUAAUAAUCCCCGUUUCUGUCUUGAUUAUUUCCAUUCUUUGCAAACUCCUCUCGGCAAAAUAGAUGCCAUAUCUUCAGUGGAGCAGCAACCAUCACAAACUCUACUGCCUAUAGUUAACUCUGGUGUGGGAUGGGGUUUUGGGUAAGGAAAGAGGGAGGAAACUGUUGAGGGACUCAAAGCUGCCUGCCUUGCUUUAAAGACACUCAAAUUCAAUAAAAAACAAACAUUCAAACAUGCAACAAACAAAACCAAAAAGAACACCUCUGCUAGCUAAACAAAUUAUUUCUGUGGGUUUGUUCAGUUGGUUUGCUGCUCUUUUAAUGUAUCCUUCACUUUACCUUAAGUGACUUUUCAAAGUAUUCAUCCAAGUAAUACAGAGCUUUUUCCAACAGGAAUUCUAGGCUAAGAAGAUGGCGGUGCAUUAUGACUUGUAAACAUGGUCAAAGAGAGAGUGGGAUAAAUACUUCCCCAGUGAUCUCAGGGAUGGUAGGUAGGAAAGCUGGCUAAUCCAUACUGAAAUCACAACAGUUAAAUUGCAGCCCAAAUCGGAAAACCAACUGUCUAUUUUAUAAUCACAGUAACAGCCUGCAUCCUUAUUCCCUACUUAUUUUGCCACGUGGCAUUGGGGAGACAAUUUAGUUUUCUAUUCGAGGACAGUGUUUGAUUCUGACUCAGUCCCAGCUGAUGCAGAGGCUUAAAGUAAAGGCAGAGAUAUAGAUGUGGAUUGGAUGUGACCUGGCAUUUUGGCAAUUUUCUUCUUUUGCUAAUUGUAACAUUGCCCUUGUUUGAGUGACUUCAGAGCCCAAAUACAUCAAUUUCACAUAUAUGUGAAACAGAGCAAUCAAAUCUUAGUGGGAAAGGGUACACAUUAGCUUGUUCUAUUUUUUCUCAAGUCUUGGAUUUUCAUCUGGGGAUUUUGUAGCAUCUCUGUGUGGUAUUUUCAGGCCAUGCUGUGACUGAAUAAAGUAUUAAUGCCCUUAAAGCUAAACAUUGACGAUGCGAAGUAAACUCAAUCUGCUAAAUGUUAAUACAAUUUAUCCUUUUAAAAAUUUACAAACGUGACAUAUUGCAUGCACUUAGUGCUAAUCUAUUUUAGACAUUCAUUUGGUUUGACCUAUGACCAUAAUAUAUUAUGUUCCUUGAGAUAUUUAUCUUGUCAUUUGGAAACGAGAUUACAAUUAAUGCGACACACAUGACUUUAAAUUACUACCUCAACUAGAGAUGUGUGAGUAAUGAAUUAGCCACAGCUUUGAACCCUCUGCUUAUAAUUUAAAUUACCAGCCUUUAGCCGAUGCUUCAUUGUAAUCCAUUAAAGAAGUCACAGAAUCAUGGAACCACAUAUUGUUUUUCGAUGAUGACCUAUCGACGAUACUUUUCCAUUUAAUUUACCUAACCCUAGGCUAAUGUAUUCAAAUUCAUGUAAGAAAAACAAUCACAAGAGAGAACAUUUAUAUGUUUAGGUUAAUACUGGAAUAAAAUCAUAGCCAGACUUCAUCUAAACUAGAUGUACAAAAACAUCAUCCUUUUUUGCCGCUUUCCACUUUUCAGAAGAAAAAUAAAUAUGAUAUUGGAAAACUUGAGCUCAUACCAAAGACUUGGCCCAUAAGCCCUUUUUCAGGAGAGAUCCCCAUAGCAAAAAGCCCAAUUUGUUAUAUUUUCCACACCUCCUUCUCAGCAUUGACUUUGUCAGACUAUAAGUUCUGGAAAGGCACAGAAUAGAAACAUACUAAAUAUUUGUCAAAUGAUGUCUGUAGUGAUAAAUGAUAACCAUUUAUUAUGAAUAAUGGCAGAUUAAAUUUUGCUCACUAUCCUCCAUUUGCUAUGACGAGAUGAAUACAUUGUUUAUUUAAGCUCUUACUGUAUGCUGG